UGGGUAACCUGCCUUAUAGUGGGGGGAGUAGCCUUUCGAAAGGAAGAUUAAUACCGCAUAAGAUUGUAGUAUCGCAUGAUAUAGCAAUUAAAGGAGCAAUUCGCUAUAAGAUGGACCCGCGUCGCAUUAGCUAGUUGGUGAGGUAAUGGCUCACCAAGGCGACGAUGCGUAGCCGACCUGAGAGGGUGAUCGGCCACAUUGGGACUGAGACACGGCCCAGACUCCUACGGGAGGCAGCAUG
Molecule: ribosomal RNA, 241 nt
Filed under: uncultured bacterium
Lineage: Bacteria
Description: partial 16S ribosomal RNA
Rfam family: Bacterial small subunit ribosomal RNA
Source: RNAcentral